RNAcentral lists this unclassified non-coding RNA (214 nucleotides) under uncultured Crepidotus. RNAcentral's name for it is "sequence contains ITS2". Lineage: Eukaryota; Fungi; Basidiomycota; Agaricomycetes; Agaricales; Crepidotaceae. The record is from RNAcentral.
AAUUCUCAACCUUACCAGCUUUGCUGCUUGGUUUGGAUUGGACUUGGGGGUACUUUUUUGCAGGCUUCUACAAGUCAGCUCCCCUGAAAUACAUUAGCAGUGCCCUUGUGGUAUACAGCCAUUGGUGUGAUAACCUAUCUACGCCAUUAGCUGCCCAUAAUUAUUGGGGUUGUGCUGCUUCUAACUGUCUUCUUUACUGAGACAAAUUUGACCA